UUUUUUUUUUUUUUUUUUUAAACAUACCCCCACCCCAUCCAUUCCUUGUCUUGCCAAGCAAGCCCCCGGGGACAAUCCCCGGAUUUCCUUCCCCAACUGCAUGCACUCUUACUCCUCGGUGGAGCUCUGGUUCCCAUAAGCUCGAAAACAAAACUACAUCCAUCAAAUACUGUCCUCAACGGGGCAGGAAGCCGGGGAGGAGGUGGAAGCUCAAACAGCACACCUUUUCUACCCAGCAACAGGACCUGAGUGCUUCUUGCCAUGAUUUAAAGUUGAAAUUAACACCCGGAAAGAAACCAACAUUUGUUUUCCUCUUCCUGUUCCACACCCCGCCCAUCUGGAGGAAAAGAAAUGGGGGGGGGGACCACCGGAAACUAUUUACCUUUACAUAAAUAAAUUGCCAUGUAUGGUUUUUUUUUUACUAAUUCCUCUAAGGUCUGCUGCGCCUUAACCCUUCAGAGUAGUUCCAAGCAGUGCAGGUCUCGGAACAUCCUGGGGGAAAGGACCAAGUACCAAGAACACAGCGGGGGAGACGCAGGAAGAAAGUGAGGCUAACAGUUUAGGCAGAUGCUGUUGAAAACCUGCCCAGAACAUUGUCAAGAUCCAAGAAUCCACCCCAAAAAGAAAAAGCCAAACUAGUGCCAAACCUAGACAGCCCGGCAGGCUGGAGCCAAGGUUCAGAAUAGAAAUCCCAGAGCGCAUGCCCUGGGCUGCUUUGCAUUAGAUCUCUUGGGAAUCUGUUGUGGUUUGUCCCACACAACAUGGUUUCUGAAGUUCAUGAAACAUUGUCCUGCCGUAACGUGCAAACGUUCGGUAUUCUGACCAGCGUCUUUACGUGCUCAGUAGUUGUACUAGAAGGAGUGAAGACUUCAUUGAGCUUUUGAGUGGACGGGACUCCUCCUAUGCUGGCAAUCACCAGUUUGCCACUUUAUUCUACUGUGAUUCUUGGGUCUGUCUCCUAGUACCUUGGAUUUUCCUUGAGCUGCCAGUAGUUCCUUCUGCCUUUCUAGCAGACCUGCUUCUGGCAGCUCCUCUUUUUUUUUUUUUUUUUUUAAUUUAUUUGACGGACAAAGAUUACAAGUAGGCAGAGAGAAAGGAGGAAGCAGGCUCCCCCGGAGCAGAGAGCCUGAUGUGGGGCUCCAUCCCAGGACCCUGGGAUCAUGACCUGAGCCAAAGGCAAGGCUUUAACUCAGUGGGCCACCCAGGCACCCCAGCUCCUCCUCUUCUAAUGAGGUUAUGGAAACCAAGUUUGUAAGGAAGCAGGACUAAGCCGAGAGGAGGAGCUCCAAGUUCCUGGAGUCUCCAUCUUCCUGGCAACUUCUAAGCUGCCCCUCCCUUGGCAAUCCUCAGGUACGUUUUAUAGAGCCAGCUGUGCCCCUGACUUAGCUGACUCGCUGUGUGAGCUGUCCUAGCAAAGACCAUACCCAACACAUAGGGGGGACUUUCUCUGGGCCAGGUCCUGGCAAAGUACUUUGCUUUGUAUCUUGUCUCAUUUAACACAUGUUCUCUCCCGUGAGCCUAAGAGUUGGGUCCUGGGACUUAUCUCCGUUUACAAACGAGGCUUUCUCCAGCACCCGGCCUUCCACAGUGGACAGCGCUCAGUCCCGGCCGUCCGGCACCAUUUUCUGUUGAUCAGUGCUCAACAUGGAAUCCACGCUUGAAAGCCCUGCGUCAUCCACAGCCCUCCUUCAGCCUUCCCUCCCCAAUCUAAUUGUUGCUGAGCCUGUGGAACCCUGUCUUUAACACUAUGUCUCUUAGGACAAAAUCCAACUCCGUUAUGUGGUUUACAAACCCCUCCCAAAUCCAACCCUAGCUUACCCCCCUCAGCCUCUCCUCGGGCCCAGAUCCUCUGGCAAGAAACACUCAAAAUAAUUCGUCAGGGUCUUGCUCUCGGAAGAAAGCUGUCUUGCCUUGAGAGCUCUGCACCAGGGCUCUCAGGUUCUCCGCCUCUGCUGGGCUAACUCUACAAUUCCUGUCACAGCAUGGAAGCCACUUCCUCUGGGGAACCUCAGAGACCUCGUCCUUGACUUCGGUCCUCCAGCUAGGAGCUCCAGUAACACCCUCAUGUCCCCCAUCACUGCCUUUAUGCCACAGCACUAGGCUUACUU
Molecule: long non-coding RNA, 2108 nt
Filed under: Mustela putorius furo (domestic ferret)
Lineage: Eukaryota; Metazoa; Chordata; Mammalia; Carnivora; Mustelidae
Description: lncRNA (ENSMPUG00000030409.1)
Source: RNAcentral